UACAGAGGGGGCAAGCGUUGUUCGGAAUUACUGGGCGUAAAGGGCGUGUAGGCGGCCUGCUAAGUCGAACGUGAAAUCCCCGGGCUCAACCCGGGAACUGCGUCCGAUACUGGUGGGCUUGAAUCCGGGAGAGGGAUGUGGAAUUCCAGGUGUAGCGGUGAAAUGCGUAGAUAUCUGGAGGAACACCGGUGGCGAAGGCGGCAUCCUGGACCAACACUGACGCUGAGGAGCGAAAGCCAGGGGAGCAAACGGG
This 253-nucleotide ribosomal RNA is filed under the name uncultured bacterium. RNAcentral describes it as "partial 16S ribosomal RNA". It matches the Rfam family "Bacterial small subunit ribosomal RNA", at positions 524 to 776 of the family's 1533-position model. The record is from RNAcentral.